ACCAUCUUUAAGCGCAUUCGAUGAGUGCUUUUAAAAAUGGUUACUUCAUUAGAAGUGAUUAGCUCUUUAACAAUUUGGAAAGCUGACAAAACAACAAUUUAUUGUUGUUUGUAAAGUUCUCAAUGUUUGUCUUUAAGACAAACACCAAAAUAACACAUUCAAGUGUUCUUGGAAUUUGAGUCCGGCAAAAUCGAGUCUGCAUCAUGUAUAAAAAUWGCAGACAACUUUG
This 229-nucleotide transfer RNA is filed under the name Vibrio parahaemolyticus. RNAcentral describes it as "tRNA-Ala". The record is from RNAcentral. Lineage: Bacteria; Pseudomonadati; Pseudomonadota; Gammaproteobacteria; Vibrionales; Vibrionaceae.